GACGAACGCUGGCGGCGUGCUUAACACAUGCAAGUCGAGCGAAGUGUUCAAGACAGAUUUCUUCGGAUUGAAGUCUUGAAUAUCUUAGCGGCGAACGGGUGAGUAACGCGUGAGAAACCUGCCUUUCACAAAGGGAUAGCCUCGGGAAACUGGGAUUAAUACCUUAUGAUACUUCAAAUUCGCAUGAAAUUGAAGUUAAAGCGUAAAGCGGUGAAAGAUGGUCUCGCGUCCCAUUAGUUAGUUGGUGAGGUAACGGCUCACCAAGACCGCGAUGGGUAGCCGGCCUGAGAGGACGACCAGCCACACUGGGACUGAGACACGGCCCAGACUCCUACGGGAGGCAGCAGUGGGGAAUUUUGGACAAUGGGCGAAAGCCUGAUCCAGCAAUGCCGCGUGCAGGAAGAAGGCCUUCGGUUGUAACGUAGCUUUGUUCUAGGGAAGGAAAGUACUUCUUGGGUCGUAAUACCCCGGGACGGGAAGUGACGGUACCGUCGAAGAAUAAAGACACCGGCCGUAACUAACGU
RNAcentral lists this ribosomal RNA (524 nucleotides) under uncultured bacterium. Its description in RNAcentral is "bacterial SSU rRNA". It matches the Rfam family "Bacterial small subunit ribosomal RNA", at positions 28 to 541 of the family's 1533-position model. The record is from RNAcentral.